GACGAACACUGGCGGCGUGCUUAACACAUGCAAGUCGAACGGAGCACCCUUGCCUGAGGCUUCGGCCAAAUGAUAGGAAUGCUUAGUGGCGGACUGGUGAGUAACGCGUGAGGAACCUGCCUUUCAGCGGGGGACAACAGUUGGAAACGACUGCUAAUACCGCAUGACGCAUUUUGAUCGCAUGGUCGAAAUGCCAAAGAUUUAUCGCUGAAAGAUGGCCUCGCGCCUGAUUAGCUGGUUGGUGAGGUAACGGCCCACCAAGGCGACGAUCAGUAGCCGGUCUGAGAGGUUGACCGGCGACAUUGGAACUGACAAACAGCCAGGACUCCUACGGGAGGAAGCAGUGAGGAAUAAUGGGCAAUGGGCGAAUGCCUGACCCAGCAACGCCGCGUGAAGGAAGAAGGCUUUCGGGUUGUAAACUUCUUUUAAGUGGGAAGGGCAGAAGACGGUACCACUUGAAUAAGCCACGGCUAACUACGUGCCAGCCGCCGCCGUAA
Molecule: ribosomal RNA, 497 nt
Filed under: uncultured bacterium
Lineage: Bacteria
Description: partial 16S ribosomal RNA
Rfam family: Bacterial small subunit ribosomal RNA
Source: RNAcentral